AGCUCCAAUAGCGUAUAUUAAAGUUGUUGCAGUUAAAAAGCUCGUAGUUGGCUCUCGGGCCGGGGCUUGCGGUCCGCCUCGGCGCGGUCACUGCUCGCCUCCCCGGCCUACUCGAACGCUGUCGCGUCGUCCCUUGAUGCUCUUAGCUGAGCGUCUCGGGUGGCCGGCGAGUUUACUUUGAAAAAAUUAGAGUGUUCAAGGCAGGCUUCAAACACGGCCUGAAUAACGGUGCAUGGAAUAAUGGAAUAGGACCUCGGUUCCUGUUUUCGUUGGUCUCCGGAACUCCCGAGGUAAUGAUUAAGAGGGACAGACGGGGGCAUUCGUAUCGCGGCGUUAGAGGUGAAAUUCUUGGAUCGCCGCGAGACGAACUACUGCGAAAGCAUUUGCCAAGAAUGUUUUC
This 400-nucleotide ribosomal RNA is filed under the name phytoplankton environmental sample. RNAcentral's name for it is "partial small subunit ribosomal RNA". It matches the Rfam family "Eukaryotic small subunit ribosomal RNA", at positions 587 to 971 of the family's 1831-position model. The record is from RNAcentral.